Astatotilapia calliptera (eastern happy) is the source of this 7222-nucleotide long non-coding RNA. The record is from Ensembl. NCBI's taxonomy places the organism in Eukaryota, Metazoa, Chordata, Actinopteri, Cichliformes, Cichlidae.
UUUAACUAAUGUGAGGGCAAAAUGUGAUCAGAAAAAUCAAGUAAUGUGUUGUGAAUAUUAAUAUUAAACACUAAAGACGUGAAGUUUAUUAAUGCAGUCAUGUUAAAGAGCAGAGGUAAGAUGACUACUGGCCUAAAAUUAAGAAUAGUAAAGUCUAUAAAUGUAUGAAGCAGUCUGAAUCUGUAUUUAUUUCACUGUAUACUAUCUGCACAUUGAGGCGGGACAUUGUGUAUGUUCUUUUUGUCACUGUCUGACACUGUAACUAUGAAUUAACUGUUUUACAAUCACUUUUAUGCUUUCAUGCUCUGACCUGGUAAACUAUCAUUGAUUACUCAUGCAGAAUCUAAGCCUGAUCUCGUUCACAAUGUGACCCAGAGACCCCUUUGUGGCCUUCAACCUGUCAGCAUACAGCAGUGAGGUCUGUUCCCAGGGACAGACAAAAAAUAACAAACAAAAAAAAACAAAAACCCUGAAGUACUUGCUAAUCAACAGAAUGGAGUCGGCAGAACUAAGCUGCUAAUGGGCUAACGGGACUAUUAAUAGUCUGGAGUGGAGGGCUGCUGCAGUGAGCCAAACAUACAAACACAGGGAUUAAAGCUGAAGACCUCCGUGUGACUGUUCUGUGAUUACCUUCCUGUCAACAAACUUUUUAUUUAUUAAAAAUAAAUAAAUAAAAAUAAAACCCACCCUGCACCCUUACAAACACCAAAUGCAGCUGGGCUCUCAUUCAUUUACCAUAUAACCUUUGCUUUAGUGUUUAUUAACGUGAUAAUGGUUGUCAACACCAGCACCACCACACAUGCUAUUCUCUUGGUACUGUUUGCAGCCGUUUCAUUCACUAUUGAUGGCUCUGAUGACAAUGAAUUGCUCUUUAUUAUUCACUAAUGGUUCAAUUACUUCUUUUUUCUGUAUUUUCAAUUAUCUCCAUUUUUUUGUAUUAUUAUUUUUGUAGUAUUAUUUUAAAUUUACUGCAUCGGGAAGAGCCUGAAAAAAACAAAAACAAAAAAAAAAACACCACAACAACAACAAAAGCCUAAAUAAAGAGUGAAAUAGACUAAAAAAUAAAUAAAUAAUAAUAAUUCAUUUAGUUAAUAUUGUUAUAAUUUUUUUUUUUUUUUUUUUUGUUGUUUUUUUCCUCUUUUUUCUUUUUUUUUCUCUUUUUUUUCUUUUCAUGCUUAUAAGUUCACAAAUGUUAAAGACAGUAAUUGUUCUCGGUUGAUUUGUAUAAGCAUGUUAUGUUUAAUUUAAAUGCAGAAAUAAAAUUUAAGAAAAAAAAAAAAACAACAACAAAAGCCAACAUAACUGAAUAAACACAAAUCGUGAAGCGACCUGCUGUGGCGACCCCUUGUGGCCAGGGAGCAAGCUGAAAGUAGCUUUAUGCAUCUUAUUUUCUUAAGUGGUGCUAAAAAACUAAAAGUGUAACCCUUGACAUAAUUUACUAAGCAAGCACAAACAUAAGACAAAGUUACACACUAGAAGUUAUAAAAUCCUGUUGUUUUAUUUGGUUUCUAUAAUAAAUUUUACAUGUGGUCCACAGGGAACCACAACAGUCAGCUCUCCUAUUUAUCAAUCCCCAGUUUCAUCCAAAAAUGUCUUUAUCCAAAUUCUUCUAAAUUUGUUCACUUUCUUUUAAAUUUCUUCUUCUUAAAAAAGAUGAGUGCAACGUUUUUUUUCCAACCACUCAGCUUAUCCACAAAAAGAAAUUAGCUCCAUGCUAAUUGUUUUUAGCAUACGCCAGUGGUUGUAGUAACCCUUGUAGUCAAAAAUGGUCCCUAGGUGAAUAGCAAACAAGUACAUGGGAAUCCCGAGGACACCACACAAACAGUGCAUGCUGACAUGUUAGCGUCAAACAUCAGCAAUUCUGUUAAAUCCUUUCAUAAAACAUGUCGCCUAAUAGUAAGAUUUUAAAAAAAAAAAAAAAUCAUUUUGCUGUUUUAUGGUGUUUAAAAAACUAAACAGUAUGACUUUGAGUGCUCACCAUCAUGCUUAAACUCUAAUCAUGUAGCAAUAAAUGAAAAUGAAGUGCUCCGUUUCACUUUUGGAUGUUAUUAUGGAUUAAAAACAACUAUGACAUGCAGACGUCUGCAGACGGUUUCACUCAGAAACAAGCGGAUAUGUGAAUAAAGAGAGCAGAUAUGAAGUGACUGAUAAAAACUUAUCAAAGGUGGUUUGUUUUUUCACAAUAUGAUCGUACACGUAGCUCUGCAUUCAUUUAUUAUAACACACCGGGUAAUACAGAAGAGUUUUAGAAGCCGAAUUUAGAUGCAACUAUAGUUUUGGCCAGCACAGAUACAAAAAAAGACCAACUAGCAUUAGUACUCUAAACAGGACUGUAACGCUCCACAUGACAACAACUGAACAGCUUCCACAUGAUGUCAGUAAACAAUGCUUGAGGUUUGAAAACGUUAAAACAAUCUAAAAAUAACAUGGGAGUAAAAUAUCGUUUUUUAUUUAAAUUAGAGACUAAGCAGUAAAAAAAGCCAAGUAUCAGUAACAUCAGAAAAUAAGAGGCCAAAAAAAAAGACCUUAAAAGAGCUUAGUGGGGUUUUAUUUGCUCAUCUUCUUUUUCCUUUCUUUUGUAGAGAGGGGCAAAUAAAUAAGAACAAAAUAAACUUGCAGAGUAAUAAUAUUGGUAUAUGAUUUUAAAUUCUGUUUCGAAUCACAAUUUCAAAAUCGUUACAUCCCCAUUUUAAAAUGCAUGCACUACUAAAGGAAGAGUUGAACAUUUUGGGAAAUGUGCAUUUCGUGUUUCAUCAAUACCAUUUUAAAUCACUAACAAAAUUAAGCCGGUGAAGGGCCUUAACACAUCAUUCAUUUAGUGGCCAACAGAGGGCAGCAACUCCAGUUUCACAACUGUAUAAGAAUAAGAACUAUAUUUAUCCCGAGGGAAACUCUUUUGUCAUGUACAUGCUCAAAGUAAUUUUCAACUGUAGAGAGCAUGCUAGACAGGCUGCCAUCUGAGACGGCGCCGUAUAGAUGUCUAAAGGAAAUGGCUCUACGCUCUUUUAAUCUGUGAGUUUACAGAUUAAACACGUGGCCUCGAUCGCUAGUUCCACAUAUUAACUUUGGGUCCAGUUUGUAAGUGGUGACCUCAUUAACAAACCAGAGGCUGCUUUACUUUGUAAUUGACAAGUUGCUAACCUAUGAUUGUGCAAUAUCAUUGGUUUUUUAGUCAGACCCACCCCUCAUUCAUCAUGCACAGUUUCAAAUCAUAAAAAUGGCAAAAACAGAAAAACCCCUCGGCUCAAGCCUUCAUUAACACAAAGGUUGACGCUGAGGUGGUGAUGUCCAUCUUUUAGUUACAGUCUGAUGGCAAGAAAGCAUUGAAGCAAAUACAUUUUUAAAACAGAUUCCCCAAAAUGUUGAACUACUUCUUUACGAAAAAAGGUUUGUCAUUUCAGAAGACGCCCAAAGCCAUCUAUUCAUCCAUCCAUGGAGAUGUAGCAGAAUAAUGCUUAACACAAUGUGUUCUGUGUUUUGAGCUUUUGUUGAAGUAAAUUGCUUAUUUAUUGGGCUUCAUCUGUCUUCCAUUACAGCUUUUGAGUCAAGGAAGAAAAUCAGUUUCAGACAAGUCAAUAAAUCAGUGCAAAGUGGAUGAUUCAUGGAAAAUGCUGGCAGCUCAAACUCUCACCAAAAUCACAUUACAUCAUUAGUAAUCCUCACGUCUCAACCUUAGAUGGCAUUAAAUCUAUCAAAUCACCCGUAGGGAAAGCAAUUAAAUCAUUUGCCAUCUAGAAGCAAUUAGCUUUGUCAUGAGCAGAUCCACUGACAUUUUGAGCUGGACAACACAGACAUUAGCAUGUCAACGAUACCAGUGACUCAAUAAGUUUCUGGUGUCCCAGAUUAAGAGCUGAAACAAUUUGCCAACUGCGCUUUUCUUUGUCUUUGCCUCCAGAUUUUGGAUGAAAUAAUCUAUAAUGGAAACUAGUGUUGGAUAUUUCUUACCAUUUUCUCACAUUAAACGCAAGCAAAAAGCAAUAAAUAAAUGUUAGCUGCAGCUUUAAAGGUGCAGACACACUGAAUGACCAACUGUAAUUAAAGAAUGUGACUGAAAUCUAAAAGAGGAAAAAAACAAAACAUGAAACCAAAAACAAUACAGAGGAAAAGUGCGUUUGACUCAAAGAAGGUGUAUAAAACUGAUGAAGCCAAAAAUCUCUGUAGUGUCUGUAUUUAUUGUGCAAUUCAAGGUGUGUCAACACAAACACUGAUCCAGAUUCACUAAAGCAUGAAGGAAGAGCGAUGCCAAGUGUGCACAAUGAGCGAAGAUGAAGAGGAGAGCCGAAUGCUUCAGGUUAGAUUUAAUCAAUCGUGCUCAUGCAUUGAAUUACUUUAGACAAAGUAUUCCUGGGUGAUUCUGCAAAAUAACAGACAACAGUGAGUGCAUUUGGGGCUUGUAUUUUUAGUCACUGCUGCAAUUAUUCUUGAAGGUACAGCGCUGCCAGGGUCAGGUUAGUACAUAAAGGAGGACUUUCCUGCCCAGAAACUAAGAACAGAUCAGUAAGGAUGCAGGAAUGAAUGGAUCAGUCCUGCAGUUAAAGGGCGAGUGCCUGAAAUUUGCAGUAAAGAUGGUUGAUUGCUUGCUCAUUACUCUUUUUAAAGGCUGCAAAUAAAUGUCCAAAGCAUCCCCAAAUAGAAAGCAAUAGUGGUGCAAUUAAAUCAAGAGAUUGCCCUGCAAUCUAGUCUUAGUGAAUCUGGAGCUGAGUUCAUAGAUCAAGUAACUUUCAGGGUUUCUGCAGUUCUGAAUGUAAGAGGUACAAUAAAAGAAGAAAAAUGGCAACAGACCCGUCUGACACGGUGCAUAGACUGAAAUGCAUAAUAUACACACAGCUUUGACAAUCUGAACCGUGGCUUACAGAGCAAAUGGCAUUUCUAGAAACUAUCGGCCUGGGCUACAUGAAGCUGUCGGCUUUGGUCUACCGAAUAAUCUGACUGCAACACAAAAAAGAAAACAAAACAAAAAAACCCCCGCAAUAUAUAUAUAAAAAAAAUAAGUAAAUCUAACAGAAAGUUAUUUCUAGUUAAAAGACUAUGGCAUCUGUAAUUGUCCAUUUCAGUCGGCAGAUUAUUAUUGGGGGGGUACUUUUUAUUUUUUCCCCGCUGAGGGUGGCACAUGAUGUCAUAAGGGCUCGUGUUCAUUUACAGUUUGCAUGUCUGCAAGCUCAGCAAUUGUCCCAUGUUUGUCGUUUGAGGUGAGUUCCAGUGCUGUACAAGAAGAGGCAUGCAGCCGUACAAGUUGCAUGCGCGCCGGGGUGGAAGCGUCAAGUCCACUCCUGAUCGAAGCUCAAAGAUUAGGCUCAGACAUUUAUUGUUAAAGCAAUGAAAUGUAACAGUGUCCUGAUUGAAAACUUUUUACAUGGUGAAGCAUCUGUUAGACUUCCUGCCGCCUCUGAAGGUUAUUUUAAUUUUUUAUUUAUUUAUUUAUUUUUUACACAACCAUCGAUGGGACUAGUUUGAGACAUUAGAGGACGACAAUGCAACAUUUAACUAAAUGCAAUUGUUCACGAAGAAGAAGAAAUGUGUAGUUCUUGUCUUGCCACUGAUAUGAACACACAAAGAGUGGCAAUGAAUUUACCACCAACGUGUAUGGGUUUCUUCAGAGGGCAACUCCUAGGCAGGUUAACGAGGGAAAACAGAAAAUAGGUGCUCCUACUGGUGACCAAUGGAGUCCAACAUGAUGGGAGGCGGUUAAGAUUGUGACAGGAAAAAAAAAGGUAGUAAGUUCCAGUCCCGGUUUGGAUAGCAGGUAAACAAUCAAAGCCACCUCUACGUGACUUUUUUUUUUUUUCUCGGCCCUCAUGUCCCCAUUUUUGCAAUUUUGCUGGCCAGUGUCAGACCUUUACUGGUUAGAAUGGAAUGGCCAGAAGAGAUGGACUUUAAGCCUAGCCCUGGAUAACUGGACUGCUAUCAAGGUAACAUCCAGCCCAGGCUGGACAUGUGUGAAGGUGGAAGAAGAGAGGAGACUUGUUAGAGGAUGGCUUGUGGUCUUAAUAGCUGGCCUGAAAUUAUCCUCCAUGACGCUCGUAGCAUCUAGUAGGUUAAUCUGCGUGAAUACUUCUCCGUAUUUUAAGUUCCAUGAAGGGAGCCGGGAGCAUUUCAGUGCCCACCUGGCAGGGUUUGUUUGGUGGCUCGGGUAGGUCUGGGUGGAUCAGGCCUGAACUGUGGGUUGGCUGGUGACAGCGGGCUGGUUUCUCUCUGGGUCGCUGGCAGCAGUCAGAUGUGGCUGGGUCAUAAGAGGGGAGCAGAAGGCUGAAGGGGGAAAAAGAGGAAGUCAAAAUCAGAUUAAAAAUAGUUAUAUCAGGUUAAUUACAACUUUAAUCAUACUUCAAGAAGCUUCUGUCUUUUAUUCCAGUCUUGGCAACUGUAUAUCCAACCUUAGCACAUACUGAUGCAGAGACAAGUAAGUGAAAUUCCAACUAUGAGGUUGCUUAGAAUGAGCUUUUCAUAUUUUAUUUUAUUUUUUCCACUGUGUAUGUAGGACACAUACAAACACCUUAUCUAACAACGUAAACCUAACCACACUCUGGCUAUGCAAAUAAUGCACUGCUAUUAUUUGCAUAGCCAAUAACAGCAGUGCAUAGCUUCCACCUAAUCCAAAAGUGUUAUCCUAACUCUAGACAUUCAAUUUAAAUUAAUUUAUAGUAUUGGUAUCCUUGUUGUUACAGACAUUUGAUUCAAUACUUGUGUUGGUGUGUCUGCACUGCUCUGCCAACACAUGUGAAACUGAGAUGUUUAUGUUGGAAUUGGAGCCAAUAAAUAUUUUACUGAGGGGAAAAAAAAAAAAAAAAGACUUCAAAAGCAAGAGAAAACUAGUAUCCAUCUACAUUAGCAGGUCUACAGCCCACACAGUAGAUUUAACACUGUACUGUAGAUCAAGGAAUUAAAAGUUAAUAUUUAAUGACUGAGAAUAGCCACAUCAAAAUGACCGUGAGAAAUGAACAAAAUAAGCUGUUUGUCUGCCCAACCACUAAUUAAGUUACACAGACCACUUUCUCAGUAUGUUCAAACCAACUGUUUAUAUUCCAAGUUUCACUUUUAAAAUCAUCAUCCGUUGUAUCUUACCUUCCUGCUUUUGCUAGUUGAGGCUUAUCCACACCAUCACUUUCCUGUAGAAGACAAAGGCACACUUUCAAAAUUAAGCCAAACAUUGACAUACGGAGCAUGAAAUAAAUAAGGUAUAACUCUUCUGCCCUAUUGUAAGGCCUCGUCUUAUUCUAAGAUAAAG